CUCAGCAGCUCACAAGGUGAUGGACACUUCUCUCUCUCUCUCUCUCUCUCUCUCUCUGUGCUAUGUGAUCAACGCCUGUUGCUUUGUGGCACGUGAGUCAGGCAUGAAGAAGCCUAAGGAAGAAGGAGACAAAGGCGUGGUUUGGCCUGAUGCUCUCUCUACCUUCAUCUUCCAGGCAUGAAGAAGCCUAAGGAAGAAGGAGACAAACGCGUGGUUUGGCCUGAUGCUCUCUCGACCUUCAUCUUCCAGUUGCUUCUUGUCAUGGCAACGGAAUGCAGCAAGAAAGCUGAGAAUAAAGUGACGAUUGCUACAGUGGUGGGUACGGAUUCUAUUUUCUUUGUUGUCUCUCACAAUACCAACAUUUCCAUGGAGCCCUUUGCACUAAAAGGGCAUUUUCUAUGGUCUCGAUUACACGUAACAGGGUAGCAAUCUUCCAUGUAACUAGUGGCCCAUCAUUCGCAACUGGCCCAAAUAAUAACAUUAAAUCAAAUAUAAAUGAUUUUGAUGUUCUUACGAUUUAGGUGAGUGAUUCAUUACACAAUAUGCAUCUGUU
Molecule: long non-coding RNA, 553 nt
Filed under: Musa acuminata (dwarf banana)
Lineage: Eukaryota; Viridiplantae; Streptophyta; Magnoliopsida; Zingiberales; Musaceae
Description: long non-coding RNA (MACU_LNC004823)
Source: RNAcentral